RNAcentral lists this transfer RNA (30 nucleotides) under Osmoxylon novoguineense. Its description in RNAcentral is "partial tRNA-His". RNAcentral also lists the same sequence under 3 other names. Lineage: Eukaryota; Viridiplantae; Streptophyta; Magnoliopsida; Apiales; Araliaceae. The record is from RNAcentral.
GGGCGGAUGUAGCCAAGUGGAUUAAGGCAG